UACAGAGGUCCCAAGCGUUGUUCGGAUUCCCUGGGCGUAAAGGGUGCGUAGGUGGCGAGGUAAGUCGGAUGUGAAAUCUCCGAGCUCAACUCGGAAAUGGCAUUGGAAACUACCUUGCUCGAGGGUUGGAGGGGGGACUGGAAUACUUGGUGUAGCAGUGAAAUGCGUAGAUAUCAAGUGGAACACCAGUGGCGAAGGCGAGUCCCUGGACAACUCCUGACACUGAGGCACGAAAGCUAGGGGAGCAAACAGG
This 253-nucleotide ribosomal RNA is filed under the name uncultured bacterium. Its description in RNAcentral is "partial 16S ribosomal RNA". It matches the Rfam family "Bacterial small subunit ribosomal RNA", at positions 524 to 776 of the family's 1533-position model. The record is from RNAcentral.